This is a long non-coding RNA of Carassius gibelio (silver crucian carp), 1315 nucleotides long. RefSeq lists it as uncharacterized. The transcript is spliced from 3 exons. The record is from RefSeq and is a predicted model, not a curated record. Lineage: Eukaryota; Metazoa; Chordata; Actinopteri; Cypriniformes; Cyprinidae.
AUAUCUGAGACGACAUAUUAAUACAGUUUUUAUUAAGUUUCAGACAGUGACGGAUGGCUGAAAUAUGCGAAUAACUGUGAAAAUAGAGGAAAAAGUAGUUUCUGACACUGAAAAGCGAAUUUGACAUUUAAGUGAGUCAAAUGAGUUCAAAAAGUGAAUACGACAUUCUGCUCUAAUGUAAACGCAUGCAGUUGUCCAUAUCGACAUGUAAAUCAUACAAAUUACGUGCAAUAUAGUCGGACCGCAGGUCUAAGAGAACCGACGAUCCAGUUCAAAUAAACCGGUUCAGUCUAACAAAGUGAUUCCCGGAAAAUAAUCGACGUCUCAGGGCAUUUCAAAGUGCGCGGAUGCACAGCGAGUGUGGUAGGCCGCGUUAGUGAGGUGAUUUUAUGCUUUUGUGGUUUAUAAAGUCUUUUUACAUACAAGUUAUAACUCAAAAUGUUGUUUUUUCCUGUCAGAAAAGCACAUGGAUACAUUUGUGAGAGAAAAACUCGUCGAGUGCAGCCUUAUUGAGGCGUCUAACGGUUGGAACAAACAUGGAAUUCCUUAACCGAGCAGAGUCCACAAAACCCCAUACAAUUGUUGUGGCGAUUUAAAAAUGCCAGCAGAUCUCUCAGGCAUUGAUCAUAAUCAAUGGACAGGUCACCGUAGCCACCAGAUCCAGUAUGUAUCCAGAUCAGAUGGUGGAUCAGCACCUAGAAAGGACCUCUACUGCCCUGAAAGACAGUGGAGACCAGGACAACUAAAGCCCCAGAUACAGAUCCUCUGUAAAGACUCAGAGGACCACCAGGACAAGACCACAGGAAACAGAUGAUUCUUCUGCACAAUCUGACUUUGCUGCAGCCUGGAAUUGAACUACUGGUUUCGUCUGGUCAGAGGAGAACUGGCCCCCAACUGAGCCUGGUUUCUUCCAAGGUUUUUUCUCCAUUCUGUCACCGAUGGAGUUUCGGUUCCUUGGUUUUCCUAAGUUGGGGACCAUUAAGAUCAAGCGAUAUCAUCGACUUGAUCGCACAGAGGGACGAUACAUCACUGAAUCAAUGAUGAACUGACUUUAACUGAAAACUGAGUGUUUACUGUUAUCCCUUCACAUUAUUACACACUAUUUUCCUUUUUAAUAUUGUAAAGCUGCUAUGAUGCAGUAUUUGAUCAAUAUGACAGGAUUAUUACUCAUAAUACAUGGAAAAUACAGCUGCAAAGGGACUUUGAAACUGAAACAGUAAUUUUUGUUCUGUGUUUUUGAAACAGUGUUUUUAUUCAAUAUUUGCAAUUGUGUUUGGAUUAUGUCACAAUGUGUCUUUAUCUCAUUUCCUUUUGA